UAUUGCACCAGUCCCGGCCUGAC
Molecule: microRNA, 23 nt
Filed under: Tribolium castaneum (red flour beetle)
Lineage: Eukaryota; Metazoa; Arthropoda; Insecta; Coleoptera; Tenebrionidae
Description: tca-miR-92c-3p
Gene: tca-miR-92c-3p
Source: miRBase by way of RNAcentral